AUACUUACCUGGCGGGGGAGACACCGCGAUCCUGCAGGUGGUUCUCCCGGGGCGAGGCUCGGCCAUUGCACGCGGGCCGUGCUGACCCCCGCGAUUUCCCCCCCCCAAAAAAAGAAACAAGCAAAAAGGAAAUCACAUAAAAUUUUAAGAGUCGGAGUAUUUCCAUGGAACAUGUUUCCAU
Molecule: small nuclear RNA, 181 nt
Filed under: Vulpes vulpes (red fox)
Lineage: Eukaryota; Metazoa; Chordata; Mammalia; Carnivora; Canidae
Description: U1 spliceosomal RNA (ENSVVUG00000015210.1)
Rfam family: U1 spliceosomal RNA
About the family: U1 is a small nuclear RNA (snRNA) component of the spliceosome (involved in pre-mRNA splicing).
Source: Rfam by way of RNAcentral